Molecule: ribosomal RNA, 497 nt
Filed under: uncultured bacterium
Lineage: Bacteria
Description: partial 16S ribosomal RNA
Rfam family: Bacterial small subunit ribosomal RNA
Source: RNAcentral
GAUGAACGCUGGCGGCGUGCCUAAUACAUGCAAGUCGAGCGAACGGACGAGAAGCUUGCUUCUCUGAUGUUAGCGGCGGACGGGUGAGUAACACGUGGAUAACCUACCUAUAAGACUGGGAUAACUUCGGGAAACCGGAGCUAAUACCGGAUAAUAUUUUGAACCGCAUGGUUCAAAAGUGAAGGACGGUCUUGCUGUCACUUAUAGAUGGAUCCGCGCUGCAUUAGCUAGUUGGUAAGGUAACGGCUUACCAAGGCAACGAUGCAUAGCCGACCUGAGAGGGUGAUCGGCCACACUGGAACUGGGACACGGUCCAGACUCCUACGGGAGGCAGCAGUAGGGAAUCUUCCGCAAUGGGCGAAAGCCUGACGGAGCAACGCCGCGUGAGUGAUGAAGGUCUUCGGAUCGUAAAACUCUGUUAUUAGGGAAGAACAUAUGUGUAAGUAACUGUGCACAUCUUGACGGUACCUAAUCAGAAAGCCACGGCUAACUACGUG